Molecule: transfer RNA, 74 nt
Filed under: Aureoumbra lagunensis
Lineage: Eukaryota; Pelagophyceae; Sarcinochrysidales; Sarcinochrysidaceae
Description: tRNA-Trp
Rfam family: tRNA
About the family: Transfer RNA (tRNA) molecules are approximately 80 nucleotides in length. Their secondary structure includes four short double-helical elements and three loops (D, anti-codon, and T loops). Further hydrogen bonds mediate the characteristic L-shaped molecular structure. tRNAs have two regions of fundamental functional importance: the anti-codon, which is responsible for specific mRNA codon recognition, and the 3' end, to which the tRNAs corresponding amino acid is attached (by aminoacyl-tRNA synthetases). tRNAs cope with the degeneracy of the genetic code in two manners: having more than one tRNA (with a specific anti-codon) for a particular amino acid; and 'wobble' base-pairing, i.e. permitting non-standard base-pairing at the 3rd anti-codon position.
Source: RNAcentral
AAAAGCAUAGUUCAAUCAGGGUAUAACAGUAGUUUCCAAAACUAACAAUGUAGGUUCAAAUCCUGCUGCUUUUG